GCUCUGGUUGGAUUAUUUUUGAAGGGUAGUCGGCAAUCAAAUGAACGCGUAGAAGACGUUGGCAUCCGUGACUCCCUCUUCGUUCCCUCUCCCUAUCGAAACCUUCGUUUCCUCUCCCCAGCGGUCAAGACGUUGGCAUCCUCUCCUUGGCGGUCGAGCCCAUCAUUCUUUCCUCUCGGCGCACUCGCUAGCGGUAUCCUUCCUCUCACUUCCUCUCCUUGGAGGUAUCCUUCCUCUCGGCACUCUCGCUGCAUGUCGUCCCCUCUGCCUAGGGUUCAAUCCGCCUAGGGUCCAAUCCCUCGAUCGGUCUCAGCAACUAGCCAACCUCAAUCUACAAAAGCUCUAGGCCCGUGAAGUUGCAAAUGAACUUUGUGCGAGUACGAAGGCAUCAAGGAAUCCUAUUGUUUUGCUUGAAACUUCUUCAGGCCCCAUCCAGACAGCAAUUAUAGAUACAUCCACUGUUUCUGAUGCAUACUUCAAGAUGCUUACAAUAUUUAUUCUUCUUCCUGUGAACGAGCUCAUGACGAGUUCCUUGUGAUAAGAGACGCAAAAGAGGAGUGUGAAAGUUCAUUUAUGGAAGGCAAAACCCUCUUUAUUGACUCCAACAUCCCUAUUUAUUAUAAUCUUCAUUGCAGCCCUUGAUGUUGCUAAAGAUAGGAGAAAGCAUUGAUCACUAUCUUCUCCUCCUAGAGUUGUCAUUCUUGUGCGGAUGGAAAUUAUAUCAUUUAAGUUCCAAGUUCUACUGGCAGAGUUUUUACUGUGUGUGAUAAUCUUCUUGUUUUGUUCUUAAUUGCAAGAUCUUUAAGUUUGCUAAAUUGAUUGAGGACUUGAUUAAGUUCCUUAAUUGUAUAUAUAUAUAUAUAUAUACAUGCUUACUCAAUAAAGUUGUACGUGGCAUUA
Zingiber officinale is the source of this 900-nucleotide long non-coding RNA. RefSeq lists it as uncharacterized. The transcript has 3 exons. The record is from RefSeq and is a predicted model, not a curated record. Lineage: Eukaryota; Viridiplantae; Streptophyta; Magnoliopsida; Zingiberales; Zingiberaceae.